Molecule: ribosomal RNA, 466 nt
Filed under: uncultured bacterium
Lineage: Bacteria
Description: partial 16S ribosomal RNA
Rfam family: Bacterial small subunit ribosomal RNA
Source: RNAcentral
GACGAACGCUGGCGGCGUGCUUAACACAUGCCAGUCGAACGGAAAGGCCCUGCUUGCAGGGUACUCGAGUGGCGAACGGGUGAGUAACACGUGGGUGAUCUGCCCUGCACUUCGGGAUAAGCCUGGGAAACUGGGUCUAAUACCGGAUAGGAGCCAUUUUUAGUGUGAUGGUUGGAAAGUUUUUUUCGGUGUAGGAUGAGCUCGCGGCCUAUCAGCUUGUUGGUGGGGUAAUGGCCUACCAAGGCGGCGACGGGUAGCCGGCCUGAGAGGGUGGACGGCCACAUUGGGACUGAGAUACGGCCCAGACUCCUACGGGAGGCAGCAGUGGGGAAUAUUGCACAAUGGGCGCAAGCCUGAUGCAGCGACGCCGCGUGGGGGAUGACGGCCUUCGGGUUGUAAACUCCUUUCGCUAGGGACGAAGCUUUUUGUGACGGUACCUAGAGAAGAAGCACCGGCUAACUACGUG